Molecule: ribosomal RNA, 492 nt
Filed under: uncultured bacterium
Lineage: Bacteria
Description: bacterial SSU rRNA
Rfam family: Bacterial small subunit ribosomal RNA
Source: RNAcentral
GAUGAACGCUAGCUACAGGCUUAACACAUGCAAGUCGAGGGGAAACGACAUCGAAAGCUUGCUUUUGGUGGGCGUCGACCGGCGCACGGGUGAGUAACGCGUAUCCAACCUGCCCACCACUUGGGGAUAACCUUGCGAAAGUAAGACUAAUGCCCAAUGACAUUUAUAGAAGGCAUCGGAAAUGAAUUAAAGAUUUAUCGGUGAUGGAUGGGGAUGCGUCUGAUUAGCUUGUUGGCGGGGUAACGGCCCACCAAGGCGACGAUCAGUAGGGGUUCUGAGAGGAAGGUCCCCCACAUUGGAACUGAGACACGGUCCAAACUCCUACGGGAGGCAGCAGUGAGGAAUAUUGGUCAAUGGGCGAGAGCCUGAACCAGCCAAGUAGCGUGCAGGAAGACGGCCCUAUGGGUUGUAAACUGCUUUUAUAGGGGAAUAAAGUGAGCCACGUGUGGCUUUUUGCAUGUACCCUAUGAAUAAGGACCGGCUAAUUCCGUG